UCCAUUUAAUCUUAAGAGAUGCAUUUGCACUAAAUUUCUGUAGAUAUUUUAGUCACAAUGUAUUUUAUGUUUUCAUUAUUUGCAUUUAGUGUUUUCUUUUCACUUCUGUCUAUGUAUGUUCACUCUUGUGUCACUCUUUUAGGUCCUGUACUGAAGAAAACCUUUGUGAAGAUGAAACUGAAGUCCAGUUCGAGUCUGUCUGAAACUGAAAUGAGGUUCCAGCUCCUGUCGCAGCUUCAGUCUGCUUUGAUGGAACGAGGGUUCUCUGACGUGAUGCUGCAGUGGUCUCAGCCGCCCACAAAGGAAGCGAUGCGGAAGGAAGAUUCACCGGCUCAAUGUGCUGUACGAAAGAGAUGAUGAUGAUGAUGGGGAAACCCACACUUCGGAUCAGCUUUGAUGUUGUUCAUUUACCUCCUGGAAUAUUCUCCAGUCCUCAAUGUUGGUCACAAUAAUGUUGUAUGUGAAAAAUGAAACUACUGAUUCCUGAAACUGAAUUUUGAAACAUGCAAACUUAUUUCUGUAA
Molecule: long non-coding RNA, 523 nt
Organism: Cyprinus carpio (common carp)
Lineage: Eukaryota; Metazoa; Chordata; Actinopteri; Cypriniformes; Cyprinidae
Exons: 3
Source: RefSeq, a predicted model, not a curated record